This 30-nucleotide non-coding RNA is filed under the name Rattus norvegicus (Norway rat). Lineage: Eukaryota; Metazoa; Chordata; Mammalia; Rodentia; Muridae. The record is from RNAcentral.
UAGAAGAUGAAGAAACAUGGGCAAUCAGGA